RNAcentral lists this ribozyme (91 nucleotides) under Aedes aegypti (yellow fever mosquito). RNAcentral describes it as "drz-agam-1 ribozyme". It matches the Rfam family "drz-agam-1 ribozyme". Lineage: Eukaryota; Metazoa; Arthropoda; Insecta; Diptera; Culicidae. The record is from Rfam by way of RNAcentral.
UGCCCAGCAACUCCUACCCUUACCUCCUCGCGAUACUGGCCGGGGUACGAGUAACCUUAGGGAAGAUCGGGUAACCAACCCUGGGGGAAGG